GAAAUGCGAUAAGUAAUGUGAAUUGCAGAAUUCAGUGAAUCAUCGAAUCUUUGAACGCACCUUGCGCUCCUUGGUAUUCCGAGGAGCAUGCCUGUUUGAGUGUCAUGGAAUUCUCAACUCUAUUUGCUUUUGUGAAUAGAGCUUGGAUUUGGAGGUUUAUUGCUGGUACUUGUGAUCGGCUCCUCUUGAAUGCAUUAGCUCGAACCUUUGCGGAUCAGCUAUCGGUGUGAUAAUUGUCUACGCCGUUGCAGUGAAGCAUAUCAAUGGGCUCGGCUUCCAAUCGUCCUUUACUGGACAAGGACUUUGCCCUUUGACCUCAAAUCAGGUAGGAUUACCCGCUGAACUUAAGC
RNAcentral lists this unclassified non-coding RNA (350 nucleotides) under plant metagenome. RNAcentral's name for it is "partial contains 5.8S ribosomal RNA, internal transcribed spacer 2, and large subunit ribosomal RNA". The stretch from base 1 to 105 matches the Rfam family "5.8S ribosomal RNA", at positions 50 to 154 of the family's 154-position model. The record is from RNAcentral.